Molecule: long non-coding RNA, 771 nt
Filed under: Homo sapiens (human)
Lineage: Eukaryota; Metazoa; Chordata; Mammalia; Primates; Hominidae
Description: uncharacterized LOC105371200, transcript variant 1 (LOC105371200)
Source: RNAcentral
GCGAGAAAUCAAACUUCGAACAGGACAAGCCCGAAGCCCGCUUCUCCGGGAGACGGGGUGCCACAAUUGCAAGGACCCUUGCUCCACAGAAUUCUUUGCCUGGAAUUUUCUUCCCAGAAUCUUUGCAUGUCAUUCCCUCUGUUGCUGAGUUACCGGGAUCUCAAUGUAAACGUUACGUACUGACAGAGGCUGCUGUGAACUGAAUUGCGUGCUUCCCAAAAUUCAUAUGUUGAUACUGUCACCCCCGGUACCUAAGGAUGUGACUACAUUUGGAGAUAGCAUCAUCAAAGAGGAGUUCUGCAAUAAAAUGCCUGCUUUCUCCACCAGAUGGUAUUCACAAAAAUAGCUCACAUUAUGUUUUGCUUGUUUGCAAGUCAACAAGAUGAGGUCACCGAAAAGGUCUAACUGAUUCUGUCUGCUCAGGAAUGUUUCAGGCUUGGUCUCCCUUUUAAUUUACCUCGUAAAUCAUUUUGUAAUUUUUAUCUCCUACCCAUUCUGUAACUUGUUAAUUACUUUUAUACACAUGUAAUAUCUUUUAUGUGUGAUUUCUAAGUAUAUUACUAGUGAACAUUGACUGUUACAAGGCAUACCUUGUCUUAUUGCAAUUUAUUGUGCUUCCCAAGUGUUGGAUUUCUUACAAAUUGAGGGGUUUUGGCAACCUUACCUUCAGUGACUCUGUCAACAAUAUUUUUUCCAACACCAUGUGAUCUGUGUGUGUGUGUGUAUCUUUGUCAGCAUUUUUAUCAAUAAAGUACAUUUUUUAUUAAGGUA